GACGAACGCUGGCGGCGUGCUUAACACAUGCAGGUCGAGCGGUAAGGCCUCUUCGGGGGUACACGAGCGGCGAACGGGUGAGUAACACGUGGGUGACCUGCCCUCAGCUCUGGGAUAAGCCUGGGAAACUGGGUCUAAUACCGGAUAUGACCUUUCCUCGCAUGGGGUUUGGUGGAAAGUUUUUUCGGCUGGGGAUGGGCCCGCGGCCUAUCAGCUUGUUGGUGGGGUGAUGGCCUACCAAGGCGACGACGGGUAGCCGGCCUGAGAGGGCGACCGGCCACACUGGGACUGAGACACGGCCCAGACUCCUACGGGAGGCAGCAGUGGGGAAUAUUGCGCAAUGGGCGGAAGCCUGACGCAGCGACGCCGCGUGGGGGAUGACGGCCUUCGGGUUGUAAACCUCUUUCGACCCCGACGAAUUUGGACGGUAGGGGUAGAAGAAGCACCGGCCAACUACGUG
RNAcentral lists this ribosomal RNA (460 nucleotides) under uncultured bacterium. RNAcentral's name for it is "partial 16S ribosomal RNA". It matches the Rfam family "Bacterial small subunit ribosomal RNA", at positions 28 to 507 of the family's 1533-position model. The record is from RNAcentral.